CUCGGGGAAAUUUUGCAUCAUGGCUCCCCUUUCUGCUUUUCACGGGCAUCGUCUGCCCUCUCCAUGAGACGAACUUCCGAAGCCCCCUCGCUCUCGGCUCGGAGUCCGAACACGAAUGAGUUUGGGGAUUUCGGAGACCCUGUCCCGCUUCUAGCUGAAUUGGGGUGUCCCCUGACUACCGCACACUUGGGCAAACUUCUCCAUAAACGGACCAGGGAACGCAGCCCCCGAGAAAGGAUUCUUCACGGCCGCUGCCCCCAGCUUUCGAGACUGCGCCUCUUAUUCCCCAGAAAACCUCGUUUGGGAUAAUGUCUCGCCAUUCCCACCUCACCAUCCCCAGUUCUGAAUCUUCCUUAGGCGAAGGUCAUCUCCGAGAAUGCGACUUCGGUGUUGACGUCAUUUUAGCUGCCGCAUCACUUACACGGUGCACCUCUUGUCUGUCCCAGAGGAUGGCAGCGAUUUAAGAGUUGUCUCCCUGGCCACAAGCCCCUGGCUCCCACCCCAUGAUGGCUUCUCCAGCUUUGUUUUUUUCUUUAAUAGAUGAAGAAAGAGAUCCAAGCAAAACAGCUGUGGCAGCAGUCAAGAAAGCUUGAGCAGCCCAUGUUUGAGAGAGGAACCCCUGCACAGCCUUAGAGAAGACCUUGAAGAGACGAUGUCAGAGAAGGAGG
RNAcentral lists this long non-coding RNA (668 nucleotides) under Equus asinus (donkey). RNAcentral describes it as "lncRNA (ENSEASG00005033673.1)". Lineage: Eukaryota; Metazoa; Chordata; Mammalia; Perissodactyla; Equidae. The record is from RNAcentral.